RNAcentral lists this ribosomal RNA (1332 nucleotides) under Triticum aestivum (bread wheat). RNAcentral's name for it is "partial small subunit ribosomal RNA". Lineage: Eukaryota; Viridiplantae; Streptophyta; Magnoliopsida; Poales; Poaceae. The record is from RNAcentral.
AUGGCUGUCGCCGCCUUCCCAAACUGGCUGAUGCUGGAGCGUUUCGUCUUCCGCAGGGACGACGAGGGGUCUUUUCCGGACAACACCAAGGCACCCAUCCGGGCGUCCGGCACGACCUCCUGGAACGCUCCCUUCCGCAUCGCCUUCUGCCUCGCCGAGCCCCCGCUUCCCUCCCGCCUCUACGCCCAGUUGCCACGUUUUCCAGAUCCGAGGAAGCAUAUUCCCUUAGCCAUCAUGGCGACCCACCGCCAUCUCCUCCUGCUUCGUAUCGCCACCAAUACCCCUGCACUAGGGCUGGUGCAGGACUUCCUUGUCUACAACGCCUACGACCCUUCCUCGCUCAAAGCUCUCCAACCUUGUACCGAGCCGUACACGGAUUAUACCCGCACGGGUGACAACCUACCUCGUGGUCCUCCCCUCCAGGAAGGGAAGCAGCGCCUACUGACGGUCAAAUCCAUGGGCCUCUUGUGCCGAGGCGAAGACGAGCAAGAGUUUGCGGUGGCAGAGCUCCUCGUUUUUAAGGACAUCCACUCUAAGGUCUAUGCUGACAUCUGUUUGCUACGCUCCUCCACAUCAGCUGGCCCCGUACUUGGCGGCACUUGGAACUCCAUGCGUCUACCAAUCCUUGGCAUCGACAAUGUCAAUGAUCCUUGGCACCUCUGUUGCUGGGACACCGACACCGUCGUUCCCUUCAACCGCUCGCUUUGCUGGAUCGACUACCACCGAGGCAUCCUCAUCUGUGACGUCUUCGGAGACCCCAUCCCUACCGUAUCUUUCCUCGCGUUCCCCCUUGAUGAGUUCCCUUCUGCUCACACUCACAAUCAAAUCAAGCCAUCCAGCUGGUUAUACCGGGGUGUGUCCGCCAUCGAUGACGACGGUGUGCUCAAGUUUGUGAAUGUCACUCGUCAUGAUGGCAUUGGUCAUGGAGAACUCAAAUCUGGGUCAGGCUUCACCAUCACUUGCCACACUCUCACAUUAGGUAGCAUGGUGUGGGAAUUAGAGUACAAGAUCACUUCGGCUGAGCUCUGGUCUUCCAAUCCGCACCUUCCACACACAAUCCUCAUGUUUCCUCAAGUAAAUGUCGACAGGCCAUAUGUAGUGCACUUUCUCAUCAGCGAAUUCAAAUACGUCAUCAGGAAGAUGUGGGUGGUUAGCAUUGAUAUGAGCACCAGGACUGUGGAGUCAAUUUCCCAAUACAUCAAUGGGAAGGACGGCCUUAAAACCGAUGAUGCUGACUUCACCAGAAGAAAGUCUGGCGCUCCCACGUCCUUCCUCCCCUGUGAAUUCUCUAGGUUCCUUCGUCUCUCCAGAAGAAACGAGGAUAUGGAAUGA